GGUGGGGUGGCCGAGCGGUUGAAGGCACUGGUCUUGAAAACCGGCAGGCCCGAAAGGGUCUCGUGGGUUCGAAUCCCACCCCCACCGCCA
This 90-nucleotide transfer RNA is filed under the name Alphaproteobacteria bacterium. RNAcentral's name for it is "tRNA-Ser". It matches the Rfam family "tRNA". From Rfam's summary of the family: Transfer RNA (tRNA) molecules are approximately 80 nucleotides in length. Their secondary structure includes four short double-helical elements and three loops (D, anti-codon, and T loops). Lineage: Bacteria; Pseudomonadati; Pseudomonadota; Alphaproteobacteria. The record is from RNAcentral.